RNAcentral lists this long non-coding RNA (385 nucleotides) under Nicotiana benthamiana. RNAcentral's name for it is "long non-coding RNA (NBEN_LNC028553)". Lineage: Eukaryota; Viridiplantae; Streptophyta; Magnoliopsida; Solanales; Solanaceae. The record is from RNAcentral.
CAAUCCAAAAGGCGUCUUAACAGUUGAAUUCCUGAUGUCGCCUUAUAGGAUCCUUAACUUUCUCCUCUCAUUCUCAUUCCGAUGUGAUAAUUUGUCUAAGUCAAGUCGAACACCAAGCAGUUUGGGAAAAGAUCUCCUCAAAAUAUUCUCAAUGGAACAGCGAUAAGAAAUGAAAACAAGAGUGGAGUACAACACAUAGUCCAUAUAUAUGUAUGCUGGGGGAUGAGAGACAAAAAAGGAAAGAACUAAGAAUCAAAAGGGUGUUUGAUAAUUGAAGAUAUGAAUAGGAAAUUUUGAGUUGACGAAUUCGAAACUGGAGGAGGUGGAAGGUGAGUCUACCAACUGAAGCAUUAGCUACGAGUUGUAGUAGUUUAUUGUCAAAUGG